This 305-nucleotide ribosomal RNA is filed under the name uncultured bacterium. RNAcentral describes it as "bacterial SSU rRNA". It matches the Rfam family "Bacterial small subunit ribosomal RNA", at positions 335 to 656 of the family's 1533-position model. The record is from RNAcentral.
AGCCUACGGGGGGCAGCAGUGGGGGAUAUUGCACAAUGGGGGAAACCCUGACGCAGCGACGCCGCGUGGGCGAAGAGGUAUUUCGGUAUGUAAAGCCCUAUCAGCAGGGAAGAAGAAAUGACGGUACCUGACUAAGAAGCCCCGGCUAACUACGUGCCAGCAGCCGCGGUAAUACGUAGGGGGCAAGCGUUAUCCGGAUUUACUGGGUGUAAAGGGAGCGUAGGCGGCAGUGCAAGUCAGAAGUGAAAGCCCGGGGCUCAACUCCGGGACUGCUUUUGAAACUGUACAGCUUGAUUGCAGGAGAG